GUCUCACUCUGCUGGUAUUGAUGGAUGGUAUAGGUCUCACACUCUGCUGGUAUUGAUGGAUGGUAUUGGUCUCACUCUGCUGGUAUUGAUGGAUGGUAUAAGUCUCACUCUGCUGGUAUUGAUGGAUGGUAUAGGUCUCACACUCUGCUGGUAUUGAUGGAUGGUAUAGGUCUCACUCUGCUGGUAUUGAUGGAUGGUAUAGGUCUCACUCUGCUGGUAUUGAUGGAUGGUAUAGGUCUCACUCUGCUGGUAUUGAUGGAUGGUAUAGGUCUCACUCUGCUGGUAUUGAUGGAUGGUAUAGGUCUCUUCUUCUUCUUCUUUGGUCUCCUCUGUCCCUGACGAGGCGUUAAACAGGUCUCCUUCCUC
Molecule: long non-coding RNA, 366 nt
Filed under: Salmo salar (Atlantic salmon)
Lineage: Eukaryota; Metazoa; Chordata; Actinopteri; Salmoniformes; Salmonidae
Description: lncRNA (ENSSSAG00000115291.1)
Source: RNAcentral